This 73-nucleotide transfer RNA is filed under the name Stegodyphus mimosarum. Its description in RNAcentral is "tRNA-Leu for anticodon UAA". It matches the Rfam family "tRNA". From Rfam's summary of the family: Transfer RNA (tRNA) molecules are approximately 80 nucleotides in length. Their secondary structure includes four short double-helical elements and three loops (D, anti-codon, and T loops). Lineage: Eukaryota; Metazoa; Arthropoda; Arachnida; Araneae; Eresidae. The record is from Rfam by way of RNAcentral.
GCCUUCGUGGUGUAAUGGUUAGCACACUCGACGUAAAAUCCGGAGGUCCGGGGUUCGAUUCCCGGCGAAGGCG